CUAGUCGCGGCGGCUGGCUGCACUCGUCCCGCCGUCCCUCCUGUCGCGGCGGCUGGCUGCACCAGUACCGCCGUCCGGCCGUCCCUCCUGUCGCGCCUCCCGGCCUCCCCAACACCGCUAGUCCCCUCGCAGUCCUCUCCGUGGUGAGCUUGCAGCCGGCGAGGUGAGAGACGAGGUUCCCAACCCACGGCUGACGAGCUGGUGCUUAAAUCACGGCCUCCCAACACUGCUAGUGCCCUCGCAGUCCACUCCGUAGUGAGCUUCCAGCCGGCGAGGCGAGAGACGACACGCCGGACGCCGCAGUGAGGUUGAAGUUUUUCCACAUUCCCGACCCACGGCCGGCAAGGUGCUUAAAUCACGUCUAAAGGCGUACUAGCAAGGAGUAUCUAAUACAGUCCAUGGAAAAUAUGAAGGGGAGCGUGGUGUACACGGUUGCUGUUUUCUUCAUCGGGGGUCUAAUUAUCGUUGGACAAUGUCGUCCUGAGCCAGAGAACAUCUAUGAUGAGGGCAAACUGACAUUGAAAUGGUGUCUUCAAAAGGAUUGCAAGACCAAAGGUGACCCAUGGACCUGGAAAAGGGAGUGCAUCUGCUGCGUCACUCUUCCUGAUGUACCUUGUUAUCAUUCCCAAAAUGAGUGCCAAAAGAACUGCCCAAUAAGUUGAGCUGUCAGUUUAACUCUGAGCAAAACUAAAUAAAAGCCGACCGGUAAAGGCUAGGAGAAGAUAACUUCGUGUUGAAUGGCGAAGUAUCUUGUGUAAACCAACAACCAGUGAAAAAUCUGGAACUUACAAUGUGGGGCGCCGGAUCGUUGUCUCACGGCAGUGGUGGACUGCUAUCGCUGGCGUAAAGGCACAACGCCCAGGUGCGGUGAUAGAUGAGGCCUGGCGCUGGUGCCGGGGUGGACGCCACCGAGACCGAGGCAGGCGGCGCCGGUACAGCCUGCGGAAUGGGCUGUUGGCGGCUGGGCGUUUCUAUAUUGCUGAGCUUCUUCCAUGCAUUGCUGAGCUCCAUUUGUUGUUUCUUGGAUGGAAAGUUUGAACAGAAUUUAGUGUGUGUGUGUGGUAUGUUCCUAUACUUACCUUUUAGUGGCAGCCUCAUAACGUAAUCGAACAAUAUUAUGUGAUUC
This is a long non-coding RNA of Triticum aestivum (bread wheat), 1126 nucleotides long. RefSeq lists it as uncharacterized. The transcript is spliced from 5 exons. Lineage: Eukaryota; Viridiplantae; Streptophyta; Magnoliopsida; Poales; Poaceae. The record is from RefSeq and is a predicted model, not a curated record.